UAACCUGCCCUUAACUCUGGGAUAAGCCUGGGAAACUGGGUCUAAUACCGGAUAUGACUCCUCAUCGCAUGGUGGGGGGUGGAAAGCUUUAUUGUGGUUUUGGAUGGACUCGCGGCCUAUCACCUUGUUGGGGAGGUAAUGGCUCACCAAGGCAACAACGGGUAGCCGGCCUGAAAGGGUGACCGGCCACCCUGGGACUGAAACACGGCCCAAACUCCUACGGGAGGCAGCAGUGGGGAAUAUUGCACAAGGGGCGCAAGCCUGAUGCACCGACCCCGCGUGAGGAAUGACGGCCUUCGGGUUGUAAACCUCUUUCAGUAGGGAAAAAGCGAAAGUGACGGUACCUGCAAAAAAAGCGCCGGCUAACUACGUGCCAGCAGCCGCGGUAAUACGUAGGGCGCAAGCGUUAUCCGGAAUUAUUGGGCGUAAAGAGCUCGUAGGCGGUUUGUCGCGUCUGCCGUGAAAGUCCGGGGCUCACCUCCGGAUCUGCGGUGGGUACGGGCAAACUAGAUUGAUGUAGGGGAGACUGGAAUUCCUGGUGUAGCGGUGAAAUGCGCAGAUAUCAGGAGGAACACCGAUGGCGAAGGCAGGUCUCUGGGCAUUAACUGACGCUGAGGAGCGAAAGCAUGGGGAGCGAACAGGAUUAGAUACCC
RNAcentral lists this ribosomal RNA (653 nucleotides) under Arthrobacter sp. V1R3A3. RNAcentral's name for it is "bacterial SSU rRNA". It matches the Rfam family "Bacterial small subunit ribosomal RNA", at positions 122 to 787 of the family's 1533-position model. Lineage: Bacteria; Bacillati; Actinomycetota; Actinomycetes; Micrococcales; Micrococcaceae. The record is from RNAcentral.